RNAcentral lists this ribosomal RNA (400 nucleotides) under Escherichia coli. Its description in RNAcentral is "partial 23S ribosomal RNA". It matches the Rfam family "Bacterial large subunit ribosomal RNA", at positions 1 to 431 of the family's 2925-position model. The record is from RNAcentral. Lineage: Bacteria; Pseudomonadati; Pseudomonadota; Gammaproteobacteria; Enterobacterales; Enterobacteriaceae. RNAcentral also lists the same sequence under 1 other name.
GGGUUGUGAGGUUAAGCGACUAAGCGUACACGGUGGAUGCCCUGGCAGUCAGAGGCGAUGAAGGACGUGCUAAUCUGCGAUAAGCGUCGGUAAGGUGAUAUGAACCGUUAUAACCGGCGAUUUCCGAAUGGGGAAACCCAGUGUGAUUCGUCACACUAUCAUUAACUGAAUCCAUAGGUUAAUGAGGCGAACCGGGGGAACUGAAACAUCUAAGUACCCCGAGGAAAAGAAAUCAACCGAGAUUCCCCCAGUAGCGGCGAGCGAACGGGGAGCAGCCCAGAGCCUGAAUCAGUGUGUGUGUUAGUGGAAGCGUCUGGAAAGGCGUGCGAUACAGGGUGACAGCCCCGUACACAAAAAUGCACAUACUGUGAGCUCGAUGAGUAGGGCGGGACACGUGGUA